RNAcentral lists this ribosomal RNA (403 nucleotides) under uncultured bacterium. RNAcentral's name for it is "bacterial SSU rRNA". It matches the Rfam family "Bacterial small subunit ribosomal RNA", at positions 355 to 774 of the family's 1533-position model. The record is from RNAcentral.
UAGGGAAUAUUGCAAAAUGGGCGAAAGCCCGAUGCAGCAACGCCGCGUGGGCGAUGAAGGCCUUCGGGUCAUAAAGCCCUUUUUGAGGGGAUGAGGAAGGACAGUACCCUCAGAAUAAGCCUCGGCUAACUACGUGCUAGCAGCCGCGGUAAAACGUAGGAGGCGAGCGUUAUCCGGAUUUACUGGGCGUAAAGCGCGUGCAGGCGGAUUGGAGAGUUGGAUGUGAAAGCUCCCGGCUUAACUGGGAGAGGUCGUUCAAUACUUCCAGUCUUGAGUGCAGUUGAGGGAAGUGGAAUUCCGGGUGUAGUGGUGAAAUGCGUAGAUAUCCGGAGGAACACCAGUGGCGAAAGCGGCUUCCUGGACUGUAACUGACGCUCAGACGCGAAAGCUAGGGUAGCAAACG